RNAcentral lists this ribosomal RNA (475 nucleotides) under uncultured organism. RNAcentral describes it as "partial 16S ribosomal RNA". It matches the Rfam family "Bacterial small subunit ribosomal RNA", at positions 335 to 801 of the family's 1533-position model. The record is from RNAcentral.
ACUCCUGCGGGAGGCAGCAGUGGGGAAUUUUGGACAAUGGGCGAAAGCCUGAUCCAGCCAUGCCGCGUGCAGGAUGAAGGCCUUCGGGUUGUAAACUGCUUUUGUACGGAACGAAACGGCCUUUUCUAAUAAAGAGGGCUAAUGACGGUACCGUAAGAAUAAGCACCGGCUAACUACGUGCCAGCAGCCGCGGUAAUACGUAGGGUGCAAGCGUUAAUCGGAAUUACUGGGCGUAAAGCGUGCGCAGGCGGUUAUGUAAGACAGUUGUGAAAUCCCCGGGCUCAACCUGGGAACUGCAUCUGUGACUGCAUAGCUAGAGUACGGUAGAGGGGGAUGGAAUUCCGCGUGUAGCAGUGAAAUGCGUAGAUAUGCGGAGGAACACCGAUGGCGAAGGCAAUCCCCUGGACCUGUACUGACGCUCAUGCACGAAAGCGUGGGGAGCAAACAGGAUUAGAAACCCUGGUAGUCCCAUGAU